This 224-nucleotide unclassified non-coding RNA is filed under the name Hevea brasiliensis (rubber tree). The record is from RNAcentral. Lineage: Eukaryota; Viridiplantae; Streptophyta; Magnoliopsida; Malpighiales; Euphorbiaceae.
UAGCCCAUUGUGAGAAGCAUCACUGUAGACAGUGUAUUCUUUAUCCGGUGUAGGUAAAGUAAGGAUUGGAGUUUCAGUCAAACAUCUUUUCAAUUCAUUAAAACUCUUCUGACAUUUAUCCGUCCGCUGAAAUUUCACAUCUUUCCGAAGCAACUUGGUCAGUGGAGAUGCCAACAUAGAAAAUCCCUUAACAAAAUGGCAGUAGUAUCCAGCUAAACCCAGAA